CCCUUAGAUGUCCUGGGCCGCACGCGCGCUACACUGAUGCAUUCAACAAGUUCACCUUGGCCGAGAGGCUUGGGCAAUCUUUUGAACAUGCAUCGUGAUAGGGAUAGAUUAUUGCAAUUAUUAAUCUUGAACGAGGAAUUCCUAGUAAACGUAGAUCAUCAAUCUGCAUUGAUUACGUCCCUGCCCUUUGUACACACCGCCCGUCGCACCUACCGAUUGAAUGGUCCGGUGAAGCCUCGAGAUUGUGGCCAGCUCGCUUUAUUGGGAGUUGGUUGCGAGAACUUGUCUAAACCUUAUCAUUUAGAGGAAGGUGAAGUCGUAACA
Molecule: ribosomal RNA, 324 nt
Filed under: uncultured eukaryote
Lineage: Eukaryota
Description: partial 18S ribosomal RNA
Rfam family: Eukaryotic small subunit ribosomal RNA
Source: RNAcentral